Molecule: ribosomal RNA, 333 nt
Rfam family: Eukaryotic large subunit ribosomal RNA
AUAAGCGGAGGAAAAGAAACUAACAAGGAUUCCCUCAGUAGCGGCGAGUGAACAGGGAAGAGCCCAGCACCGAAUCCCGCGGCCGCGUCGGCCGCCGGGAAAUGUGGUGUUCGGGAGCGGCCGAUUCCCGCGCCGCCUCGCGUUCCAAGUCCUCUUGAACGGGGCCACGGCCCGCAGAGGGUGCCAGGCCCGUAGGGGCGCGAGCGCGACGCGGGGGGGCCGUCUCCUCAGAGUCGGGUUGCUUGAGAUCGCAGCCCAAAGCAGGUGGUAAACUCCACCCAAGGCUAAAUACGACCACGAAACCGAUAGCGAACAAGUACCGUGAGGGAAAGU